UCUAAGCAUAUAUGUGCCUCUUCAACAGACUAACGAGAUUAGGCAAAAUUCCAGCAUCAAAAAUCAAUUGUUCGUGCUCUGCUAGAUCAAGCUUGAGAUUAAGACACUGUAGAAUCAUUGUGGUGAACCUAAUAUUGUGAAGUUACUCGAUAUUGUCAGAGAUCAGCUGUCAAAGACCCCAAGUCUUAUAUUUGAAUAGGUGAAUAACACAUAUUUUGAAGUGCUUUAUCCAACUCUUUCUGACUUUGACGUUAGAUAUUACAUCCAUGAGAUAUUACAAUUGUUGCAGCCGGGGCGAAAGAAGUAGCAGUCCUUGCAUCAGCUUCAGAAUCUUUCUCAAAGUCAAACAUUAAUUGCAGCAUUGAGGAGAGCCUUGUUCGAUAUCAAGUUGUUACAUCUGCUUCUGAAAAGAUGGCAAUACCAAUUCACGGGUAAUGAAAGAUCUUAUACUUGAGCACAAGGUUGAGUUAGUUCCAUUUUUCCUUCAGUACUGAAGUAGGUUUUGCCAAAAGAUCAUAUAUUGGAUCUUCUUCAUUUAUCAGAUACUGAUUCCUAUUCAGUCAUGCAAAGUACAAGUUACAGCUCCUGAAAUUUUGAUAUUUAUGCUAAAGUUAGACAAUGCACUAGAAAGGCAGAUAUUCAGAAGAAUUUAUGAAGUUCUUAACAAUCUGCAAGGAAUGAACUUAAUAGUCUCUUCAUUUCCUAAAACCGAAUAAGGGAAAUUCUUUCUGUGGGUUAUCAUUUUCCUCUAACCGGCAAUGUUGCAGCUUAUAUAAAUACUUCAUCUUCUCGUCCAAGAUGUCUCAAGAGAAAAGGCUGAACUUGCCACACAUUCAAAGCAAAAGAAAAAACGUCCAUGUUUAUUAAGUACAAACACUUAAAUGAAAUUCAAUUUACGCAAAAAAAUAAAGAAAUGUUGCCAGCUGAAAAAGAGGCAUUACUAUUACAAAUGCGCACAAGAGAUCUCGACUCAAGAAGAUGUCUUCUACAAGUUUGUGCCUUCAAUAACUCUGUCAACUCAAUAUCUUCCACAUCUAAUUCGUCGUUUCUUCGGAACAGUCCUCUUAGAAUAAGCUUUAUGUUACGUCAACAGAAGGAAAAUGAAGGUGUUCAAAUUUGAAGGGUCGCCACAAGUCAAUUUGAUCUCAUUGAAAUGGAUGAUGAAGAGUUUUUGAACUAUUGUAAAAGUUUGAAUACAUUAUAUUAAUUUUGUGAAAUAUAUUCAUUGCUAGAAAAUAUUAAACUAUUGUAA
Long non-coding RNA from Solanum stenotomum, 1252 nucleotides. RefSeq lists it as uncharacterized. The record is from RefSeq and is a predicted model, not a curated record. The transcript has 5 exons. Lineage: Eukaryota; Viridiplantae; Streptophyta; Magnoliopsida; Solanales; Solanaceae.